Molecule: ribosomal RNA, 393 nt
Filed under: uncultured bacterium
Lineage: Bacteria
Description: partial 16S ribosomal RNA
Rfam family: Bacterial small subunit ribosomal RNA
Source: RNAcentral
AUACGGAAGGUCCGGGCGUUAUCCGGAUUUAUUGGGUUUAAAGGGAGCGCAGGCCGAAGGUUAAGCGUGACGUGAAAUGUAGCCGCUCAACGGCUGAACUGCGUCGCGAACUGGCCUUCUUGAGUGAGUUCGAUGUGGGCGGAAUUCGUGGUGUAGCGGUGAAAUGCUUAGAUAUCACGAAGAACUCCGAUUGCGAAGGCAGCCCACAAGGCCUUUACUGACGCUAAAGCUCGAAGGUGCGGGUAUCGAACAGGAUUAGAUACCCUGGUAGUCCGCACGGUAAACGAUGGAUGCCCGCUGUUUGCGAUAUACUGUGAGCGGCCAAGAGAAAUCGUUAAGCAUCCCACCUGGGGAGUACGCCGGCAACGGUGAAACUCAAAGGAAUUGACGGGG